RNAcentral lists this small RNA (148 nucleotides) under Macaca fascicularis (crab-eating macaque). Its description in RNAcentral is "Metazoan signal recognition particle RNA (ENSMFAG00000059719.1)". Lineage: Eukaryota; Metazoa; Chordata; Mammalia; Primates; Cercopithecidae. The record is from Rfam by way of RNAcentral.
GCCAGGAAUGGUGGUGCAUGCCUGUAAUUCCAGUUACUUGGGAGGCUGAGGUAGGAGGAUCCCUUGAGCCUGGGAGGUCGAGGCUGCAGUGAGCUCUGAUUGCGCCACUGCACUCUAGCCUGGGCAACAGAAUGAGACCCUAUCUCAA